Non-coding RNA from Mycena leptocephala, 90 nucleotides. NCBI's taxonomy places the organism in Eukaryota, Fungi, Basidiomycota, Agaricomycetes, Agaricales, Mycenaceae. The record is from the annotation of a GenBank genome assembly.
GACCCAGUGGCGGAUGGUCCGCAUCUGUUUCUCUUGAUCGAUAAAAUCUAGUGUCAGCAGAAUGAGCCCGUUCGAUCCGGGCCUGGGUCA